This 430-nucleotide ribosomal RNA is filed under the name uncultured bacterium. Its description in RNAcentral is "bacterial SSU rRNA". It matches the Rfam family "Bacterial small subunit ribosomal RNA", at positions 29 to 504 of the family's 1533-position model. The record is from RNAcentral.
AACGAACGCUGGCGGCAGGCCUAACACAUGCAAGUCGAACGCCCUAGCAAUAGGGAGUGGCAGACGGGUGAGUAACGCGUGGGAAUCUACCCUGUGGUACGGAACAACCAAGGGAAACUUUGGCUAAUACCGUAUGAGCCCUUCGGGGGAAAGAUUUAUCGCCAUAAGAUGAGCCCGCGUAGGAUUAGCUAGUUGGUGAGGUAAUGGCUCACCAAGGCGACGAUCCUUAGCUGGUCUGAGAGGAUGACCAGCCACACUGGGACUGAGACACGGCCCAGACUCCUACGGGAGGCAGCAGUGGGGAAUAUUGGACAAUGGGCGCAAGCCUGAUCCAGCCAUGCCGCGUGUGUGAUGAAGGCCUUAGGGUUGUAAAGCACUUUCACCGAUGAAGAUAAUGACUGUAGUCGGAGAAGAAGCCCCGGCUAACUUC